GGGACGAACGCUGGCGGCGUGCUUAACACAUGCAAGUCGAGCGGAAAGGCCCUUCGGGGUACUCGAGCGGCGAACGGGUGAGUAACACGUGAGUAAUCUGCCCCUAGCUCUGGGAUAGCUCCGGGAAACCGGGAUUAAUACCGGAUACGACCACCUUAGACAUCUUUUGUGGUGGAAAGAAUUUCGGCUAGGGAUGAGCUCGCGGCCUAUCAGCUUGUGGUGGGUAACGGCCUACCAAGGCGACGACGGGUAG
This 253-nucleotide ribosomal RNA is filed under the name uncultured bacterium. RNAcentral's name for it is "partial small subunit ribosomal RNA". It matches the Rfam family "Bacterial small subunit ribosomal RNA", at positions 27 to 286 of the family's 1533-position model. The record is from RNAcentral.